GUACAUGUACGUUGUUACUGAUCUGAGAGGAGAGGGACCCAUGCUUUCGGUAGUGGGAGCGUACACAGGUGCUGCAUGGCUGUCGUCAGCUCGUGUCGUGAGAUGUUGGGUUAAGUCCCGCAACGAGCGCAACCCUGCAUCCAGUUGCCAUCGGGCGAGCCGGGCACUCUGGAGGGACUGCCGGCGACAAGCCGGAGGAAGGUGGGAUGACGUCAAGUCAUCAUGGCCCUUAUGUCCAGGGCGACACACGUGCUACAAUGGCCGGCACAGCGGGAAGCGGAGGGGCGACCCUGGGCGGAUCCCUUGAAAGCCGGUCCCAGUUCGGAUUGCAGUCUGCAACUCGACUGCAUGAAGUUGGAAUCGCUAGUAAUCGCGGAUCAGCCAAGCCGCGGUGAAUACGUUCCCGGGCCUU
This 412-nucleotide ribosomal RNA is filed under the name uncultured Thermovirga sp. Its description in RNAcentral is "bacterial SSU rRNA". It matches the Rfam family "Bacterial small subunit ribosomal RNA", at positions 982 to 1382 of the family's 1533-position model. Lineage: Bacteria; Thermotogati; Synergistota; Synergistia; Synergistales; Thermovirgaceae. The record is from RNAcentral.